GUGCUUCCAUGCAGUCGACGGCAGCGCGGACUUCGGUCUGGCGGCGAGUGGCGAACGGGUGAGUAAUACAUCGGAACGUACCCUGUUGUGGGGGAUAACUAGUCGAAAGAUUAGCUAAUACCGCAUACGACCUGAGGGUGAAAGUGGGGGACCGCAGGGCCUCACGCAGCAGGAGCGGCCGAUGCCUGAUUAGCUAGUUGGUGGGGUAAAGGCCCACCAAGGCGACGAUCAGUAGCUGGUCUGAGAGGACGAUCAGCCACACUGGGACUGAGACACGGCCCAGACUCCUACGGGAGGCAGCAGUGGGGAAUUUUGGACAAUGGGGGCAACCCUGAUCCAGCAAUGCCGCGUGUGUGAAGAAGGCCUUCGGGUUGUAAAGCACUUUUGUCCGGAAAGAAAUCGCGCUGGUUAAUACCUGGCGUGGAUGACGGUACCGGAAGAAUAAGCACCGGCUAACUACGUGCCAGC
Molecule: ribosomal RNA, 468 nt
Filed under: uncultured bacterium
Lineage: Bacteria
Description: bacterial SSU rRNA
Rfam family: Bacterial small subunit ribosomal RNA
Source: RNAcentral